This 168-nucleotide non-coding RNA is filed under the name Bdellovibrionales bacterium RIFCSPHIGHO2_01_FULL_40_29. RNAcentral describes it as "6S RNA". It matches the Rfam family "6S / SsrS RNA". Rfam says of the family: E. coli 6S RNA was the first non coding RNA to be sequenced, but its function was unknown until recently. It consists of 184 nucleotides that fold into an extended hairpin structure with a large single-stranded internal bulge. RNAcentral also lists the same sequence under 1 other name. Lineage: Bacteria; Pseudomonadati; Bdellovibrionota; Bdellovibrionia; Bdellovibrionales. The record is from RNAcentral.
GAUAGGCGUAAAACUCAUCGAAAAUAAACCUUACAAGCAUAAUAUUGGGGACUGUCCCUGACAAUGGUGAGCAAGCUUACCUCGUAGUAAGAAGCCUAAAGUUGUUAUCAUGGUCACCCACCUUGCAAAAAAGAGGUUUAUCUUUCAGAGUUGUCUACGGACCUUUUU